UGGGGGUGGACUUCGAGGUCUCUUUCUCAAGCUUCCCUCAGUGUGACAGUCGGUCGACUUCUUGUUGCCUGCAAGAUGUAGCACUCUCAGCUCCAGCACCACAUCUGCCUGCAUGCUGCCAUGCUCCCCUCCAUGAUGAUAAUGGGCUGAACCUCCGAAACUGUCCCUGGGCAGAUGGAGUUUUAACUGUUGACGAUGUAAGACAGCCUGAAUGAUGCUACUGCAAAGUCGGUUCCAACGUCCGUCUGCUGACAGUAACUGCUUCCCUUUGGCAUUUUUCAAAACCAGGACACCAUCUUGAACACUUCAAGUGUGAGAAAGAACUCAAGGACCCUCCAGGCUUUAAGUGUACUAGCCUGCAUCUGGAAGCACUCUUGAGAACAUUGCAUCUUAGGAGACAAUACCUCCUGGGAUCUCCGUGUCACCAGCUCUUUUCAACAACACUGGAGCUGUGUAAUAGAGGAAACAUUGUCCUACAAAAUGCGAAGCGCCACUGCCAAGACCAGGGGAAAGAAAAGACAUUGCUGAAAGAUUUAAUAACUGCGGAUUUUCUGACUCAAAGCAGAUAUUCAGCCUUUGAGUGAUCUUUAUGUGGCUUAAGUGGAUUGGCAAGAGUACUUCCAGCAGGUCACAUGACCCAGGUACCACGGGAAAGCUGCAAACAGAGGGAUAUGAUGACUGUAUAGAAGAAUAGGCACCUCCCUGGCUAGUUCUUAGACACAUGACUGUCUCAGUAGAGACCUGCCAUCAUCUAUUGUUUGUGUACAGUCAAAGUCACUAGAGGAAACUAUUAAAUCAUUCAUUUACAAAGUAUCAUAGAUACUGAAGGUGACCAUUUGGUAGCCCAUCUGUUAACCUAUUGUCUUUCUCCAGUAUCUGUAAGCUUCAUACAAACACACCUCUCAUUCUUUCUGCACUAGAGAUGGUUCCUAAUUUACUGCCCGAAUAUGGGAAGAAUUGUUGAACGAAAUAGGGAAAGAGAAAGAGAGGGAGAGGAUAGGGUUUAAACGUUCAAGUCCUGCAUGGCAUGUUCCUAUCAUCUGGGUAGGGGGUGGCAGCCAGAGCCACAGACAAGCUCUGGCAUGUUUGCCAUGUCUUUGUAGAGUGUUGAAGCCUCAAUACUGUGUCCAAAGAUUGCUUGCUUGCUGCUAGGCAAUUGACAUCCUGCCUCCGGCAUUGAAACAAGCCUGCCUCAUUUAUGAACUCAUUAACCUGCAUUGAUAAAGACAGUUUACCAGCUAGAGGUCUUUGUGAUUGUUCCCGGCACCCACUCACCAUGCACCCAAGCUUGUUUUCACUGGCAUAUGCUCUGCAGUUGCCUCAGAGAAACCAUCUUUCUAAUGUUGAGCCCUUUCUGUGCUCUUUUCUCUCUUGACUACAUUUCCUGUUUCUACCUUUACCUGUUGAGGCUUAGGCUUGGAGUAUAAUUUUCCCCAUAUUUGGACUUCUAUUAUUUUCUCUAGAUGUUAGUUCACUCCUCUGACUCUCAGUUUUCCUUCUAAUUUAAUAAAGUAAUUUCUAUUUUUUCCCAGACCCCCUUCCACAUGCAUGCACCAAUAUACAUGCAUACAUAUAUACAUAUCCACACAUACAAAUACAUGCUUGCACACACACAUAAACAUGCAGACACAGACAAUAUACACACAUAUAUAUUAUACAUACACACUCAUACAAACCUCACACCUCCACAUACACACAUGAGCACACACACACACAGGGAAGCACACUUAUAUACAUUCACUGCACACAUAUACACAAAUAUACAUAUCUACGUACAUACUUAUACAAACUGCACAGCUCCACACAUACAUGCACACACAUACACAAACAUACAUGCACAUUACACACAGACAGACACAAACACACACAUGUGCACAUAUAUAUGUGUAUAUAUAUAUAUAUACAUUCACACAUAUAUACACACAUAGGCAUACACACACGGAGACACACAGAUAUAUGCAUACAUGCACACAUACCCAUACAAGCACACACACUACAAAUACAUAUACACCUAUACACAUACACAGAUAUGCACACAUACACACUCAUAUACACCACAUACUUCUAUAAACAUACAUACAUAAAAUAUGAAUAUACACAUUCAUACACAUAUAUGCACAUGCACACAUACUUAUAUACAUAUAUAAUGAAGAUUUAUACAUACAACCCCCCUCCAACAUUUAUGGUCAGUAGGUCAACAUUUGACCUCUUAAAAGAAGAAUUAAAAAAGGAAUUGCUCUCCCCACAGACAUCUAGAAAUCUGUUUUGUCUUGAACAAGUAUAAACAAUACUAAAUUGAGCCUUCGAAGAGGUUCAGACACAAGGGAGAUAAUAUAGAUAGCCUGUUUAGUAGUUCCCUUUCUGAGAUAUAUGAGGGUUUGGAUGACUGUUUAUUUGAUUGCCAAGUUUACUGCCUUAGUAAAAUAAUUUCAGUAAGUAAGUAAGGACUAAGAAGACUUUUAUUUCAACACUGUGGUAUAAAAACAGAGAUAACAGAGAUAAUUAUUCUUAUGAGAGUUAAUAUCUAGAGGUAUCAAUCCAGUUAUUGAGAAGUAACCCUAAGUAUCUUACAGUCCAUUGGAGUUAGUGUAAGCAGACAAGCUGAUAUUUAAAAAUGCCAUUUUUAUAGUGUAUGGAGAAGGAUUGGAUCCAAAGUCCAUCUGAUGCUGAUGCUGAAAUGGCCUUAGAAUGAAGGCCAUGGAUAUGUGCCUACUUGGGCAGUUUGGAGGAGCCAUGAUGCUUUUUGGAACCCUUGUUGAGUGCGUUAAAAAUGAAUCCUACUAAUGAAAAGUGCUUGCACUCUGUAGUUAAUCAUACUAAAGAAAUGUGCCACAUAAUCACCGUGAAAUUGAAUGUUGGUAAAUAUGCUGUUCAAUGUGUAUUCAAAUAAUUUUGUAAAUGAGGAGGAAUAAGGGCCAAGAUAUUGGAUCAUGAUAAACAGAUUUGGCCAAGAGCCACUGAUGUUGAAGGCCAAUAUCUAAUUGUAGAUAUUGCAGGGUCUGUUCUAAAUUCAGGGUCUGUCUUCAGUUGUCCACUGUCAAGUGAUGAAAUUUGAUGUGGCCACACAAGUGCAUCAAAUGAACACACUACUUUUUACCAGAACCAUUUAAAAGAACAGAGUUCAGCCAUUUUUGAACCCUCUUUGAAGUGCCACCUAGAACUCUGUAGCCUGUGUACAACACAGUCUUCAGGAGGGCAGGGUAUUGCCAGCCUUCUUUUCUUUAGAGUCACCCUCUUCUUGACUUUUGAGAGAAUUCUGAGAUAAUACACAAUGUAUUCUCUGGUCUGGAUGAUGAUUUUGAUGACAGUACUUAAGGGAAAAUUUUCUAGUCAGUCUGAUCAUGAGUAAAAAUUACGCCACACAGUCACAAUUAGAAAUAGUUUCCUGGCAAGGUGUCACAGAAGUAAUUAGGAAUUUCGAGGAUAUUGUACACUCCUCUGCCUAUCAGCUGGAAUACAUAAACGACAAACGCAAAUAGUUGAAAAAAAUCUCUAAAUAAUUAACUUUGUACUCUAGAAUAUAAAUGCUGUGUGAGGAAUUGUAAUGAAAAAGUAUAUAUAACAUAUAUUUUAUAGUGAAAUGUUUUAUUUAUAUAAUUUAUACUAGGAAAUGCACUCUAAAUAAAGGAGGGCUUUAUGAACAUGAAUAUAGAAUUAUUGGGAAUAUUUUGACUAUAUUUCUUGAAAAAAAGUGAAGCACCUAAGGAGCUGCCCUUGAGAGAAGGCCCAUAGACCUCUGAAACAAUCUCUGAAAACCAUCAAGACCAGAGAUGCCUUUUUUUUCUGAGCAAACUGACAUUAUAAAGAAGUAAAGAUGAGGCCAUGACAUUUACAAGUGAUUGGGUGACUAGUCUGUGUCUGUAUCUUUAUUGGUAUUAUCUUAAUCCUUCAAAUUACCCUGCAAGAAGGUUCUUAUUUCAUUUCAUACAGGAAGAAACUGAGAACUAAGAAGGGUAGGUAAUUUGUCAACGUUAGAGAGCUGGUAAAUGCCAGAGCUGGGAUUUAAAUCUGAAUCUAUCUGACUCAUAGCCCAUAAUCUUUCCAGUAUGCAAAACAAAAUGAUGUUGAAUAGAUAAACAAAGAAUAUCAUCCCUGCUUCCUUCUGCUAACACAUGUGACUAAUGGGCUUCGAAAGACGUGUUGCUAAAGGGCUUCUUAUGAAGAAGGAAUGCUUGGGCUGAGUAUAAUUAUGAAUUGGAAACAUGUUGUGACUCUUUUCCAUGUUUGUGAUACUCUAUGAAGCUUUAACAGGUGAUGUGAAGGUCACUCAAAUUAUGCACAAGACACAUCACUAUAUUGUAACGCUGACCUACCAGGGAAGACUUAGAGAAUACUGUACUCAAGAGCGUCUGGGGCAGGAGUCCAUGUUGGGCACAGAACAGAGUGAGGAUGACUAUGCUUUAGUCUGAGAAUCCAAAGGCUGAGAAAGGCACAAGGGUACCUGAUUAAGUGUCAGUUGACCUUCAUUCCUUGUAACUCCAGUAUAUAAUGUAAUGAUGAGAUUCUUUGGGAUCCCAGAAAAGGAUCUUGUUUUUAAUGACUUGGUUUCCUUAUUUGCAUUACAGGAGAAUAAAUCCUAUGUCAUGAAACUCA
Long non-coding RNA from Peromyscus californicus insignis, 4593 nucleotides. RefSeq lists it as uncharacterized. NCBI's taxonomy places the organism in Eukaryota, Metazoa, Chordata, Mammalia, Rodentia, Cricetidae. The transcript is spliced from 2 exons. The record is from RefSeq and is a predicted model, not a curated record.